GACGAACGCUGGCGGCGUGCCUAACACAUGCAAGUCGAACGGAACUGUUUUGAAAGAUUUCUUCGGAAUGAAUUUGAUUUAGUUUAGUGGCGGACGGGUGAGUAACGCGUGAGUAACCUGCCUUCAAGAGGGGAAUAACAUUCUGAAAAGAAUGCUAAUACCGCAUGACAUAUCGGAACCACAUGGUUUUGAUAUCAAAGAUUUUAUCGCUUGAAGAUGGACUCGCGUCCGAUUAGUUAGUUGGUGAGGUAACGGCUCACCAAGACCGCGAUCGGUAGCCGGACUGGGAGGUUGAACGGCCACAUUGGGACAGAGACACGGCCCAGACUCCUACGGGAGGCAGCAGUGGGGGAUAUUGCGCAAUGGGGGCAACCCUGACGCAGCAACGCCGCGUGAAGGAUGAAGGUUUUCGGAUUGGAAACUUCUUUUAUUAAGGACGAAAAAUGACGGUACUUAAUGAAUAAGCUCCGGCUAACUACGUG
RNAcentral lists this ribosomal RNA (482 nucleotides) under uncultured bacterium. RNAcentral describes it as "partial 16S ribosomal RNA". It matches the Rfam family "Bacterial small subunit ribosomal RNA", at positions 28 to 507 of the family's 1533-position model. The record is from RNAcentral.